Molecule: long non-coding RNA, 235 nt
Filed under: Vombatus ursinus (common wombat)
Lineage: Eukaryota; Metazoa; Chordata; Mammalia; Diprotodontia; Vombatidae
Description: lncRNA (ENSVURG00010000214.1)
Source: RNAcentral
GCCCGCCUCCCUCCCCCCGAGGCGGAGGAAGCUCUUGGGGCCGGGCUCUGGCCCUGGGGGCUAAGCGAUGGGCGGCCCGGGCAAUAUCCCCCUGGCUCCGAAGGCAGUGUUUGACCCAGCCCGGGAGAGUGCAGCCCCAGCUUCUUUAAGCCCGGAGACUACAUUUCCCAGAGAGCCAUGCGGGGCCAGGAUGUGCGUAACGCGCAGGCGCCGGGACAUUUUUCUGUUUAUAUAA